GAUUCCCUGAGUAACGGCGAGCGAAAAGGGAAGAGUCCAGCGCCAAGUCUUGACGCCUCGAUGUGUUCAAGAGAUGCGGCGUUAAUGUGUUGACGCAUCGUCCGCUGCCCUGCGUUCCAAGUUCCUUUGACAGGGACUCCCAGAGUGGGUGCUAGGCCCAUAGGGAUGCGGGGCUGGCGGGCGCCGGUCAAUACAUUCUAGAGUCAGGUUGCUUGAGAGUGCAGCCUAAAGUCGGUGGUAAACUCCAUCCAAGACUAAAUAUUACAGCGAGACCGAUAGCAAACAAGUACCGUGAGGGAAAGUUGCAAAGCACUUUGAAGAGAGAGUUCAACAGUACGUGAAACCACUGGGAGGCAAACAGAUGGAACCACGAAGUUUGCGCCUCGGACGAUUCAAUCGGCGCCGGCGGUCGCUGGCGCGYGGUCAGGGUUUCUUCGGAAGCCGACCGCGUGUCUCCUGACUGWCGGCACCGGUGCAUUUCGUUCCGGGGAUGCUAAGCCACGUUCGACCAGGGAACUGGGACGGCUGUAGGUCAGGGUCCGGGGAAGGUGCCCGCCAAGUGCUUGCGCUUGUCGGCGUUAUAGCCCCGGGCCGGAACCGUCGCCUAGUAUGCUGGUCGAUGAAAUUGCUCCUCACGGAGUGAAGCUAAGCUUCCGGGCGGCAGGCGUYGCUGCGACUUGGUCUUUUCGUAUCUUGCGGUGCGAAAAACCAGGACGAUGGUGGCGUCUGACGUCUGGUCGCGCAUUUAGCUAAACUGUGGCGCGAGUAGGUCGGUGUCCAUUUGACCCGUCUUGAAACACGGACCAAGGAGCCUAACAUGUGCGCGAGUCGCUCGGUCUUGACCAGGCCCGGGAGGCGAAAUGAAAGUAAAGCUACGAGGCCGCUYGCGGUCGCAGUAGUGGCCCGCCCACUUCGUUUAUUGGCGAUCGGGCGGAGCUGGAGCGCACACGUUGGUACCCGAAAGAUGGUGAACUAUGCCUGGGCAAGACGAAGCCAGAGGAAACUCUGGUGGAGGUCUGUAGCGAUUCUGACGUGCAAAUCGAUCGUCAGACCUGGGUAUAGGGGCGAAAGACUAAUCGAACCAUCUAGUAGCUGGUUCCCUCCGAAGUUUCCCUCAGGAUAGCAGGCGCUCGAUGGACCCAGUGUCAUCCGGUAAAGCUAAUGAUUAGAGGUCUUGGGGUUGAAACGACCUCAACCUAUUCUCAAACUUUAAAUGGGUGAGACGGUGGACGUGCUUGACUGACGCCCUCCAAUCGAAUGUGAGUGCCUAGUGGGCCAUUUUUGGUAAGCAGAACUGGCGCUGUGGGAUGAACCAAACGCCGGGAUAAGGUAUCAAACGCGUACGCUCAUGAGACCCCAUGAAAGGUGUUGGUUGCUAUAGACAGCAGGACGGUGGCCAUGGAAGUCGGAAUCC
RNAcentral lists this ribosomal RNA (1414 nucleotides) under Pterolichus obtusus. RNAcentral's name for it is "eukaryotic LSU rRNA". It matches the Rfam family "Eukaryotic large subunit ribosomal RNA", at positions 73 to 1269 of the family's 3401-position model. Lineage: Eukaryota; Metazoa; Arthropoda; Arachnida; Sarcoptiformes; Pterolichidae. The record is from RNAcentral.